Long non-coding RNA from Saccostrea echinata, 210 nucleotides. RefSeq lists it as uncharacterized. The record is from RefSeq and is a predicted model, not a curated record. The transcript has 4 exons. NCBI's taxonomy places the organism in Eukaryota, Metazoa, Mollusca, Bivalvia, Ostreida, Ostreidae.
AUCAAUUACUUGGAUGAAGAGAAUCUGCAACAUGGGCCCAAUGCAACAGAAACUAAAAAUUCAAGAACCUAUUGUGAAAUGGUAAAGAAGAAACUGCUAGCACUACUGUGCAGACUACCAUCAAUCAACAUGAUCAACAAAAUCAAGUAAUCCUUCUGAAGAUGGAGUAGUACACAAGCACAAUUUUUUAGAAAGAAAAGUCAAUGGAAU